AAUAAAAAGAAUAUGCAACAAAAUAUAAACUUGUUAUGUAUGUAUAGGAAAAGUGAAUGAAAUUGUUAUGUAUUUAUAAGGAAAACAUCCAUAAUUUUUUGGCAUUUUUUUUAAAAAAAUAUUUUGAUUUUGAUUUUUUUUUUUUCCAUUUUUUUAAAAUUUUUUUGAAUUUUGUUUUACUCACUGACUUCAGCGCCCUUGGGCUGAAGUCCAGGCAAAAUCUGCCCUCGAGCUUGCCCGGGCUGAUGAGACCCAGGGCUUGCCCGGGCUGCAAUGCUGCGCUGGAGGUCCAAAAUCGAGGGAAUGAGCCUCUUGCUGGCUAAAGUUGCAACGGUGGAGAUGCUCUUAUAUAUAUAUAUAUAUAUAGAUAAACAAUAAUAUAGCUGAGGUGGUGGUUGUUAUCUCAGCACCACUGCGUACACCACCCUUACACAACCCUUACACCAACAUUGUCACAACCACAAUACCACCACCAUCAUUAAAAUAAGGGAGAUUCACUAUUAUACCCAAUAUGGGGGCCCAAAUUAUAAAAAUAUCAUAUAUAAAAUGGACCUUAGAAACACACCCAAAGCCCAU
Molecule: long non-coding RNA, 576 nt
Filed under: Prunus persica (peach)
Lineage: Eukaryota; Viridiplantae; Streptophyta; Magnoliopsida; Rosales; Rosaceae
Description: long non-coding RNA (PPER_LNC002580)
Source: RNAcentral